Molecule: ribosomal RNA, 1710 nt
Filed under: Triticum aestivum (bread wheat)
Lineage: Eukaryota; Viridiplantae; Streptophyta; Magnoliopsida; Poales; Poaceae
Description: partial small subunit ribosomal RNA
Source: RNAcentral
AUGGAGGCUGUCCGUAUCUACUGGAGAUCGGGGGCUGGCUUCAUUGAAGUAGCAACAUUAAGCCCCAUCGGUCCACCUUGCGCACUGGAGGGCAGCUUUGAAAUUCCUGAGGAUGACAUAGAGCACGUCGGCGGCGAGGGAUUGUACCUCGCGCUUGUCCAAGGUGGACACGUCAGCGACCUUGCGCGCAUGAUAUUUUGUAGUGGUGAUUCAAGGAACGAUGAUGGGGAAGAGGACUACUAUUCCCCCGAUCUGUUGACUUGCCGAGGGUCUUCAUCCCAUUCAAGUGGUGGCGUGAAUGAGUCGGAGAAACACACGUUUGGGCUGAUGGGGUGGGAGGAGGGUAGAUGGGAGGAUAAGAUAACGUUCAGCGAGGAGGAGGAGGAGGAGGAGGAGAAUGAUGAUGAUGAUACAACAUCCAGUGAGAAGGGGUUGAUUUUUUGGAAGCAAGGUUAUGAUGAAUUCGGAAGUGAGGAUGAUGAGGUUGUGGGAAAGGGCACAGGGAGCGAGGAGGAGCACAAGUUGGAGGAGAGACACCAGGAGGAGGGGCGUGAAGAGAGCCACCAGGAGGAGAAUGAUGAUAAUGAUACGACAUCCAGCGAGGGGAAGGGGUUGAUUUUUUGGCAGGAAGGUCAUGAUGAAUUCAGAAGUGAGGAUGAUGAGGAUGUGGAAAAGGGCACAGGGAGCGAGGAGGAGCACAAGUCGGAGCAGAGCCACCAGGAGGAGGGUCCUGAGGAAGAGGAUUUCCAAACUGUACAAAUGAAGCUUAGAUUGUGGCCAUCGAGGAAACAUGCUCUUGUUAAAAUAUUCCGUGGCAAAAAAUGGAUUAUUACAAAGGAUUACUGCCUUGCUUGGCUCAGGCCUGAAGAAAUGGAUGAAUUUGAUUUCAGAUUAGACUUCGACGAGUCACAGAUCUUGAGGGAAUCUGACUUCAUGAUGGAUUUUGAAAUUCUUAUGGCUCCUUCACAUGUUCUUAAUGACGUCGUUGCAAUGAUCAAGCCAUCCAUCUGCAACUUUACAAUUCUUAAAAAAGUUGGUGGUGCAAAUGACUGCAAGGUUUUGAAAUGCUCGUGGCUAGGUAUUAACUGUGCUAUUAAAGCAGUCGCUGUAAAAAUAUCUUGCACCACAGAGCCACGAGAAAUUGAUAUCAUAUCAAGUUUAAAGGAUAAACGCGUCAUGACUUUUUUUCAGACACUAAAGCAUGCAUUGCUGUAUGAACACCGUGACUGGUUUCCAAACCGGUGGUUCCUUUUGGAAGAAAUACUGCAAGCAAUUAAGAAAAUUCAUGCAGAAUUGAUUGUGCAUCGUGACCUGAAGCCUGACAACAUAUUCUUUGGUUCUGACAAUGGAAUUCGCAUCGGUGAUUUUGGAGAUGCAUGCAUAGGUCAUGAUGAGUUAGGCCUGUACGGUGGUACGCCUGGGCUUGGAACCGAGCAUUACCUUGCUCCAGAGCUUAACAGUGAUGGGAAAAUAACCGAAAAGGUUGAUAUUUAUUCGGCCGGCAUCAUCAUGUUUGAGCUCUUUGCUCUGAUUAAAACCGGCUCUGAGAAGAUUAUGGUACUUCCCGAGCUCAGAGAGAAAGGCCCUCCAGAUAGCUGGGAAGGCGAUCAUGAGUUGUAUGCCCAGAUGACUGCUUUGGAAUCCUCUCAACGCCCAUCAGCUGCUGAAAUAUUGGAGUACAUAGAUAAACAUCAUCGCCUCACCGUGUAA